Molecule: ribosomal RNA, 253 nt
Filed under: uncultured bacterium
Lineage: Bacteria
Description: partial 16S ribosomal RNA
Rfam family: Bacterial small subunit ribosomal RNA
Source: RNAcentral
UACGUAGGGGGCAAGCGUUGUCCGGAUUUAUUGGGCGUAAAGAGCGUGUAGGCGGCUAGGUAGGUCCGUUGUGAAAACUCGAGGCUCAACCUCGAGACGCCGAUGGAAACCAUCAGACUAGAGUCCGGAAGAGGAGAGUGGAAUUCCUGGUGUAGCGGUGAAAUGCGCAGAUAUCAGGAAGAACACCCGUGGCUAAGGCGGCUCUCUAGUACGGUACUGACGCUGAGACGCGAAAGCGUGGGGAGCGAACAGG